Molecule: long non-coding RNA, 5511 nt
Filed under: Sus scrofa (pig)
Lineage: Eukaryota; Metazoa; Chordata; Mammalia; Artiodactyla; Suidae
Description: lncRNA (ENSSSCG00000052957.1)
Source: RNAcentral
CCAUAUUUUAGUGUAUGGGGAACUCUGCCUUACUUUUAUAUCAUGUAAACACCCUCCUAGAAAUUGAACUAACCUUACUAAAGAUGCAGCCAGAGGGAAAUUAAAGGAAGGAGGUGCUUCCAAGUAUCAGAGUGAAUGACUAGUAAAUAGCUUGAUACAAUUUUUAAUCUCACAGAUCUUUGUUCUCUCAUGCAGAGUUUAACAACAAACUAGAAUUAACUUUUUAGAGGUAAUAUUUUGUCAGAUAAACUUGAACUCAGGUGUUGAUGGGACAGAUUGGAAUUUAGUAUUUCUGCUGUGUUUUUUUUUUUUAAGAACUUUCUCAUCACCUUUCACUGUGUUGAAAUGCUCUUGAUCCAUACUUUUUCUCUUUAUGAGAAUUUGAUGAUGUAGUCAAUAACAAUAUCCUCACAGAUGUUCCAUCAUGGGGAGAGACAGCUGUGUUCACUUACAAGUAGUAAGUACCAUGAAGAACUUAAUUCAAACAGAUGCAGUCUAAUUAAGACAUUAUAAGAUGUAUUACCCUCCACAAACAUACAUCACAGAGCUUAGUACUAGAAACAAAGUUCUAAGUUGACUACAGGUUUUUUUACAUGCUUAUCCUUAUUCACAAGUCAAUAUAUCUAUAAAUUACAAUUAAAGGAAUUUAUUUAUUACAGGUUUUAAAACCAAAGAAUUCAUUAUUUGUUACCCAUAGAAAGCCAACUUUACUUCUCCAGGUUUUUGUUUAAACCCAAAUUAUGUUCUGGCUAAUUUUCUGUUGGGGACAACUAGAAAUUCUUAUUGGACAUUACUUAUCAUUAUACAUGAUACCCUCAAUCUCACAACAUUACCAUCAUGCUCUGUUUGCCUAAGGCAGAAUUUCUGAAUGAUGACUUAUUGGCUUUCCAGGAAACUUAGCUUUUAUGCCACGAAAAUAUACAUGUGGUGCUUACAUCAGGUCAUUUAGCUAUUUACUUAUUUGUGAGAUAUUUAUCAUUGACUGUAGCCCCUCUUUCAUUUAUUUGUUCUCUUCUCUGUAUUACAGGGACUGGAGGCCUACGGGUUGUGUUCUCAUACCUAUUGCUAGCUGGCCUACUAUGGAGUUUAAGGUGAGACAUGUCUGAAAAAAAUAAUCUAUUUUUUUCGUAAGCAGUAGUUUCAUUUCAGAAUUUGAACACUUAAUUCUCAGCACCACUGUACUAGUUCCAGCCCUGCCCAAGCAAUAACUUCCUUUAUACUGUAGUUAGUUCAGAUAAGUUGUUUCAAGUCCAAGAGUUGAAAUGACCCUCUUUCUCCCUAAAUUUCAUUUUUCAUCUUACAUGUACUACAAGAACCACCCUCUUUUACUUUAUUCUUUAACUCAUUUAUGACAUACUUGUAACCAGUUCCCUGUAGUAAAUCCUUUUCUGUUUGGAAUAUCUAGAAAUCUGUUGUCUCAGGUUGACUUUGAUACUGCACUUACUAUUGGAAGUAGUCCCAAGAAAUUGAUCUUUAAAGAUGGUAUCUUGAGGUGGUUUUUCUAACUUGACUAGGCUUGAAAGUUAUAAUAACCUUAUUGCCAGAGGGAAAUCAGGUAAGAUAAGUGUAUGUAGUAACAGAACAAUUUAAUUCAUUACUUAUUUUUGCUUGGGAUGAAGUGCCAGUUUAAAACAAGACUAAGACAGGUUGUUUGUCACAAUUGACUUUUUUGAUGGGAAAGAAAAUAACAAAAAUUCAGGCUUGCUAUAAAUUUCUCAUUAAAUUUAGAGGGAAAAAAAGGACAAGCACAGACUUCAAAAUUUCAGCACAAGUUACAGAAUGAGAGCCACUAACUUUCCAUGAUUAUGCUACAGGUAUAUCUUAUCUCAUUAUAAGAAUGUUGUGUCUAAAAUUCAAACCCAAAAUUUAACUUUUUGUGAGGGAAAAUGUAAGUUGAAUCAUAAAAUUAUUGCUAUCAUUGAAAAUUGAGAAAGAAAUGGGACCCUGAGAAUUAUAAUGAGGGUUUGUGUGAAAACUCAAAUAUAGAAACUUGAACAUCCACAUCCCUUUGAGCCUGCAUAGCUAGGCAGCACAGGUCUUUCCCUGUACAAGGAGACCAGUCUUCCUUUGUUUGAACACCUUGUAGUAACAUCAGCUGUAGAUUCACCUUUCAUAGGGAUACACAUUAUUAUUAGGUACCUGCUCCCACCCGUUUGGUACCUUUCAUUGUUCUUGUCUCAAAAUUAGUUAUGUCCCAUGAUACUUGGUCUCAGGAGACAAAUUUAGAGUCUGAACCAGGAAGAGAUAACUGAUACCCCACAAUAUUUUUAAUUGCUAUUUUAUUUCAGCAGAAAGCUGGUAAAUAUGUUAGGAAGUGAAUUUUUAGGGUUCUAGACCAAGAAUCAAAAAUGGGAUUAUGUAGGCUCAUCUGUUUUUUUAAAUUAAAUUUUAUUGAAACACAGCCAUGUAAUCAUUUAUGUAUAUGUGCCAAUGACUGCUUUUGUGCUAUCAUGACAGAACUGAGUGAUUGUAACAUAAAGCUUAGGGCCAUCAAGUUUAGUAUAUUUACUAUUGGACCUUUCAGGGAAAAGUUUGCUGACCUCUGAUCCAGGCCAAGGAAGAUAGAGUGUCACAUUGGAUCAGGCUAAAUUUGUUGAUACUGGUAUUUUUAUACAGAUUUAGAAGUAAUGUGUUUACCAGAAUAGCACAGUUGAUUGGCAGAAGCCUGGAUCCAAAACUGUCCUAUAUUCAUUGAGUCUAGGAUAACAGAAACUCUAGUAUUAAAUAGAUGAUUAUGAAGAUAGAAGAAUGUUUAACUCCACUACCACAAAUAUGUACCAGUUUCAGAUGGCAUAGUGGAAUCUUGAACUGGCAGAGGCAAAGAGGCAGGUGUAGUUAUUCUAAUGAAAGUAGGGCUAGAGGAGUAAAUAUGUUUUAAUAUGUGAAGAUUGUUCGUGGUAUCUAAUUGAUCAUUUGUAUCCUUUUAUUAAGAUUCCACAUAUGAGUAAUAUCAUACAUUUGUUUCUCACUGUCUAACAUCACUUAGUGUGAUAAUUUCAUCCAUGUUGCUUUGAAUGCCAUUGUUUCAUUUUUUUAAUGACUGAAUAAUAUUCCAUUGCAUAUAUAUACCAUAUCUUCUUUAUGCAUUCCUCUAUCAAUGGGCAUUUAGGUUGCUUUCAUCUCUUAUCUGUUGUAUAUAGAGCUGCAAUGACAUUGGGGUACAUGUACCUUUUUGAAUCAUGUUUUUCUCUGAAUAGGUGUCCAGGAGUGGGAUUGCUGGAUCAUAUGGUAAUUCUAUUUUUAAUUUUUUGAGGAACCUUCAUACUGUUCUCCAUAGUGGUUUCACCAAUUUACAUACCCACCCACAUGCUAAGAGUGUUCCCUUUUCUCCAAACCCUCUCCAGGAUUUAUUGUUUAUAGACUUUUUGAUGAUGGCCAUUCUGGCUGGUGUAAGAUGGUGUCUUACAGUAAUUCUGAUUUGCAUUUUUCUACUGUUGAUGUUGAACAUCUUUUCAUGUGCUUUUUUGGCCAUCCAUAUGUCUUCUUUGGUGAAAUGUCUGUUUAGAUCUUCUGCCCAUUUUCAAUGGGUGGUUUUUUUUGAUAUUGAGUUGCAAGAUGUGUUUAUAUAUUUUGGAGAUUAAUUCCUUUUCAAUCACUUCAUUUGCAAAUAUUUUCUCCCAUUCUGAGGGCUGUCUUUUCAUUUUGUUUAUAUUUUCCUUUGCUGCGCAAAAAAACUUUUAAGUUUAAUUAGGUCCCAUUUGUUUAUUUUUUUUUAAUUGUCAUUACUCUAGGAGGUGGAUCUGAGAAGAUAUUGCUGUAAUUUAUCUUAGAGAGUAUUCAGCCUACGUUUUCCUCUAAGAGUUUUAUAGUAUCUGGUCAUAUAUUUAGGUCUUUAAUCCAUUUUUAUUUUAUUUUUAUAUAUGGUGUUAGUGUUCUAAUCUUAUUCUUUUACAUAUAGUUUUCUAGUUUUCCCGGAACCAUUUCUUAAAGAGACACAUUUCCCAUUGUUAUAUUCUUGCCUCCUUUGUUGUAGAUUAGUUGACCAUAGGUGUGUGGGUUUAUUUCUACUUGAUUAUAACAAUGAAAUAAAUGAGCAUCCAGCAAAAUAUUACGUAGCCUAUAUAAUCAGGAUGACUUUGGAACUAUUUUGGAUCUCAUUUUCCAGACAACAGCUGGUUUACAUAUCCAGAGUUGUUUAAUGGAAGGAAACUAUGUCCUUUUGAACAAGAAUCGUUUAAAUUGCUAGCUUCCAUUCUGUGGAUUGUUACAGUCCAGUGUUCUGAGGCUUGUCAGAGUAUCUCCUUAAAAGAGAGAAAAGUUAAUACAUCUUUUACUACUAUGUACUCCGCCCCUCUGCCACACACAGACCUACAUACUCAAUGCUUGUGGCCAUAUUCUUCCCUUUUUUUUGGGGGGGGAGCAAUUACAUACUUGAAUAUUCUCCAGGUUAUCUGUUGGAAUGCCAAUAUAAAUGAGGAACAAUGCUCCGCAACAGUUUAGGCUAUAUACACACUCUUCUGUUUCUUGGGUCUUAUGAUAUAGUAAAUUUGAUGGCACUGAAGAGUUUAUAGCAGACAGAAAUGACGUAUGGACCCCUUAGAAAACCCAAAAAUAGAAUAACAGUGCCAACCCUAAGGCAUUUUAGGAAAUCCAUGUCCCUAAAUUCGAUUUCUAUUUUGAGAACUUCCUUGUGGGUCCUUGUAAAGAUGGAAUGCUUUACCACAAACAUAAAAAACUAUGCAUUCCAAGUGUCACACUAUAAACCUGAUGUUAUCUGAUUUGACCAGCCAUUAAAAUCAGAUGUGCACUGUCAGAAUCCCUAAACAAAUAGAAUAAGAGCAUUUUAAAUUGUAAUUGGACAGAUGAUGAAAACAUUGUGAAUUGCAUGAAUAAGAUCAGAGUUCUAAGGUACCCAUUCCUGCUAUAUUUAUUUAUGUCUCUUAACGCACAUGUGUUUUCAUAUUGCAUUUCCUAUAACUAUAGCACUAAGGAAGAAGAUCAUUGGCUAUGGUUUAUACAUGGCUUUGCAUAGUUUGACACAGUAUGGAAGGACUUUUUUCUCAUCACCACGGCUAUUUGAGAUGGCACAGAAAGAUGAAAGAAAAUCCUUCAAGUAGAAUAUUCAACCAAUGUAUCUUGUUUGCUUUCCUUUGAUGAAAAGAUGAUCAGAGGUAUAGAUAUAUAUUACAUUUUGGACAAUGGCUCAUGGCCAUUCAUUAAUCAUAACAGACACCUUCAUUUUAAAGAUGAGGAAGCUGAAGCAAAUAAAUUUUAACUAGAUUUACUAAAGACAAGUUGGUAUGAUGUAGUAGAGCUAGUGAUUCAAGAAAGAUGGUUUUAGGAGUUCCCAUCGUGGCUCAGUGGUUAAUGAACCCGACUAAUAUCCAUGAGGAUGCGGGUUCUAGUAUCUAUGAAGAUGCAGAUUUUAUCCCUGGUCUUGCUCGGUGGGUUACGUAUCCAGCAUGGCCGUGAGCCGUGGUGUAGGCUGCAGACAUGGCUCAGAUCCUACAUUGCUGAGGCUAUGGUGUGGGUCAACAGCUACAGCUCCGAUUGGACCCCUAGCCUGGGAAC